This 1357-nucleotide long non-coding RNA is filed under the name Cervus hanglu yarkandensis (Yarkand deer). Its description in RNAcentral is "lncRNA (ENSCHYG00000020242.1)". Lineage: Eukaryota; Metazoa; Chordata; Mammalia; Artiodactyla; Cervidae. The record is from RNAcentral.
AGUAAGCACGUGCACACUGUUGUACAGCCGCCACCACCACCAUCUCCAGAACUUUCUCUUCUUCCCAAACUGAAUCUCUGUCCCCAUUACACCCUCACUGCACACCCGCCCCGUCCUCCUUUCCGUCUCUGGAAUCACCUAGUCUGUUGUCCUGUGACUGGCGUCAUUCAGCACAGUGCUUUCCAGGGUCGUCCACAUUGGAGCAGGUGUCAGGAUUGCCUCCCUGUUUAAGGCUGAGUUAGUGUAGUGAGUGGUGCAGUGGUUUUCACCAGGCCAUGCUUUCUGUAGCGGCUCUGUGGUCCCGAGGGCAGCUGUCAGCCCCUCCCCAGCACCCCCAGCAUGGACUCAGGGAAGUCUGCAUGCAUGCCAGUCUGGGAAUUACCAACUCUCCAGCCCCCGCAGGGGGUCCCAGAGUCUGAAAUGCCCCCUCCCCUUGGGCUCCAUCUGUCCUUUGUGCGCUCUGGCUUUUUGCCCGUGGAGACCUCACCCAGAGUGAGGGAGAGAACUGACUCCCUCGUUUCCUCCAGCAUCUUGCUGCCAUAGAAACAGAAAAAAAGUAUAGCCCUUGUAAGAGUUGAGGAAGUCGUGAGCCUAAGGGGGGCACUGUGGCCUUUCCCUCCUCCCGAACACCCCCGAAGGAUGGCGUCCCCACCCCUCCAAGCCCACUGAGGGGGAGCCCCAAGAGAGAUGCAGCUGCCUGCAAAAGGGACAGCUCCUCACGCAGGGUACUUGUUGAGCUACCCUCACCUGAGCUGAUGGAACUGGAGAGAUGGCUGGGUCAUGAAGAUAGACCUCUAGCUGCAGCCUGGUGGGGAGUGGUCCACCCCUGCAGCUGGUCCUCCCACACCCAGGAACAUCUUCUGAGCGUCCAAGCUGUGUGCCAAAAGUCUGAAGCUCACGUCCAGCAGCUCCAGGGAGGAGGGCCCUGGGGGCCCUCGGAGCAGGGGGACCUGGAGACACUGGGUGAGGAGGCUUGAUUCAGUCACCCAGAGGCAGAAGAGUCCCAUAGUUAAAGGGACUAUGCAGAGAGAGAUAGAAGCAGGUUCAAGUCUUGACUUGGCAGCUUGUGAACUGUGAGACCAGAGAGAGAGCAUUUGAUGUCUCUCAGCUUCACUUUCCUCAUUGGUAAUGUGGACUAUAGCGGCUCCUUCUUCACGGGCACUCCUUCAGAGUGAGAAUGUCUAUGAGGCUCAAAGGGGAUGCUGACCCCUGCAGACACGGUGGCUCAGGUGAAGGCAUGGUAUAUAUAUACCAUGUAUAAUAAUACAUGCACAUAUACCAUACGUAUCGUGUAUAUGUCAUGCAGUGCUAAGUCGCUUUAGUCGUGUCUGACUCUUUGUGACCCUAUGGACUGUAG